UAAGCGACUAAGCGUACACGGUGGAUGCCCUGGCAGUCAGAGGCGAUGAAGGACGUGCUAAUCUGCGAUAAGCGUCGGUAAGGUGAUAUGAACCGUUAUAACCGGCGAUUUCCGAAUGGGGAAACCCAGUGUGAUUCGUCACACUAUCAUUAACUGAAUCCAUAGGUUAAUGAGGCGAACCGGGGGAACUGAAACAUCUAAGUACCCCGAGGAAAAGAAAUCAACCGAGAUUCCCCCAGUAGCGGCGAGCGAACGGGGAGCAGCCCAGAGCCUGAAUCAGUGUGUGUGUUAGUGGAAGCGUCUGGAAAGGCGCGCGAUACAGGGUGACAGCCCCGUACACAAAAAUGCACAUACUGUGAGCUCGAUGAGUAGGGCGGGACACGUGGUAUCCUGUCUGAAUAUGGGGGGACCAUCCUCCAAGGCUAAAUACUCCUGACUGACCGAUAGUGAACCAGUACCGUGAGGGAAAGGCGAAAAGAACCCCGGCGAGGGGAGUGAAAAAGAACCUGAAACCGUGUACGUACAAGCAGUGGGAGCACAGAGCAAUCUGUGUGACUGCGUACCUUUUGUAUAAUGGGUCAGCGACUUAUAUUCUGUAGCAAGGUUAACCGAAUAGGGGAGCCGAAGGGAAACCGAGUCUUAACCGGGCGUUAAGUUGCAGGGUAUAGACCCGAAACCCGGUGAUCUAGCCAUGGGCAGGUUGAAGGUUGGGUAACACUAACUGGAGGACCGAACCGACUAAUGUUGAAAAAUUAGCGGAUGACUUGUGGCUGGGGGUGAAAGGCCAAUCAAACCGGGAGAUAGCUGGUUCUCCCCGAAAGCUAUUUAGGUAGCGCCUCGUGAAUUCAUCUCCGGGGGUAGAGCACUGUUUCGGCAAGGGGGUCAUCCCGACUUACCAACCCGAUGCAAACUGCGAAUACCGGAGAAUGUUAUCACGGGAGACACACGGCGGGUGCUAACGUCCGUCGUGAAGAGGGAAACAACCCAGACCGCCAGCUAAGGUCCCAAAGUCAUGGUUAAGUGGGAAACGAUGUGGGAAGGCCCAGACAGCCAGGAUGUUGGCUUAGAAGCAGCCAUCAUUUAAAGAAAGCGUAAUAGCUCACUGGUCGAGUCGGCCUGCGCGGAAGAUGUAACGGGGCUAAACCAUGCACCGAAGCUGCGGCAGCGACACUGUGUGUUGUUGGGUAGGGGAGCGUUCUGUAAGCCUGUGAAGGUGUGCUGUGAGGCAUGCUGGAGGUAUCAGAAGUGCGAAUGCUGACAUAAGUAACGAUAAAGCGGGUGAAAAGCCCGCUCGCCGGAAGACCAAGGGUUCCUGUCCAACGUUAAUCGGGGCAGGGUGAGUCGACCCCUAAGGCGAGGCCGAAAGGCGUAGUCGAUGGGGAACAGGUUAAUAUUCCUGUACUUGGUGUUACUGCGAAGGGGGACGGAGAAGGCUAUGUUGGCCGGGCGACGGUUGUCCCGGUUUAAGCGUGUAGGCUGGUUUUCCAGGCAAAUCCGGAAAAUCAAGGCUGAGGCGUGAUGACGAGGCACUACGGUGCUGAAGCAACAAAUGCCCUGCUUCCAGGAAAAGCCUCUAAGCAUCAGGUAACAUCAAAUCGUACCCCAAACCGACACAGGUGGUCAGGUAGAGAAUACCAAGGCGCUUGAGAGAACUCGGGUGAAGGAACUAGGCAAAAUGGUGCCGUAACUUCGGGAGAAGGCACGCUGAUAUGUAGGUGAAGUCCCUCGCGGAUGGAGCUGAAAUCAGUCGAAGAUACCAGCUGGCUGCAACUGUUUAUUAAAAACACAGCACUGUGCAAACACGAAAGUGGACGUAUACGGUGUGACGCCUGCCCGGUGCCGGAAGGUUAAUUGAUGGGGUCAGCGCAAGCGAAGCUCUUGAUCGAAGCCCCGGUAAACGGCGGCCGUAACUAUAACGGUCCUAAGGUAGCGAAAUUCCUUGUCGGGUAAGUUCCGACCUGCACGAAUGGCGUAAUGAUGGCCAGGCUGUCUCCACCCGAGACUCAGUGAAAUUGAACUCGCUGUGAAGAUGCAGUGUACCCGCGGCAAGACGGAAAGACCCCGUGAACCUUUACUAUAGCUUGACACUGAACAUUGAGCCUUGAUGUGUAGGAUAGGUGGGAGGCUUUGAAGUGUGGACGCCAGUCUGCAUGGAGCCGACCUUGAAAUACCACCCUUUAAUGUUUGAUGUUCUAACGUGGACCCGUGAUCCGGGUUGCGGACAGUGUCUGGUGGGUAGUUUGACUGGGGCGGUCUCCUCCUAAAGAGUAACGGAGGAGCACGAAGGUUGGCUAAUCCUGGUCGGACAUCAGGAGGUUAGUGCAAUGGCAUAAGCCAGCUUGACUGCGAGCGUGACGGCGCGAGCAGGUGCGAAAGCAGGUCAUAGUGAUCCGGUGGUUCUGAAUGGAAGGGCCAUCGCUCAACGGAUAAAAGGUACUCCGGGGAUAACAGGCUGAUACCGCCCAAGAGUUCAUAUCGACGGCGGUGUUUGGCACCUCGAUGUCGGCUCAUCACAUCCUGGGGCUGAAGUAGGUCCCAAGGGUAUGGCUGUUCGCCAUUUAAAGUGGUACGCGAGCUGGGUUUAGAACGUCGUGAGACAGUUCGGUCCCUAUCUGCCGUGGGCGCUGGAGAACUGAGGGGGGCUGCUCCUAGUACGAGAGGACCGGAGUGGACGCAUCACUGGUGUUCGGGUUGUCAUGCCAAUGGCACUGCCCGGUAGCUAAAUGCGGAAGAGAUAAGUGCUGAAAGCAUCUAAGCACGAAACUUGCCCCGAGAUGAGUUCUCCCUGACCCUUUAAGGGUCCUGAAGGAACGUUGAAGACGACGACGUUGAUAGGCCGGGUGUGUAAGCGCAGCGAUGCGUUGAGCUAACCGGUACUAAUGAACCGUGAGGCUUAACCU
This 2900-nucleotide ribosomal RNA is filed under the name Escherichia coli DEC4D. Its description in RNAcentral is "bacterial LSU rRNA". It matches the Rfam family "Bacterial large subunit ribosomal RNA". Lineage: Bacteria; Pseudomonadati; Pseudomonadota; Gammaproteobacteria; Enterobacterales; Enterobacteriaceae. The record is from RNAcentral.